AUGUUGGGGAGCUUGUGCAGCAGGCUGAGAGGAAGUAUGCAAACUUCGACCCGUAAAACCUGAUUUGGGUAAUGCCAACGUAGGGAUUU
This 89-nucleotide non-coding RNA is filed under the name pig gut metagenome. RNAcentral's name for it is "TPP riboswitch (THI element)". It matches the Rfam family "TPP riboswitch aptamer (THI element)", at positions 11 to 88 of the family's 105-position model. From Rfam's summary of the family: Vitamin B(1) in its active form thiamin pyrophosphate (TPP) is an essential coenzyme that is synthesised by coupling of pyrimidine and thiazole moieties in bacteria. The previously detected thiamin-regulatory element, thi box was extended, resulting in a new, highly conserved RNA secondary structure, the THI element, which is widely distributed in eubacteria and also occurs in some archaea. Analysis of operon structures identified a large number of new candidate thiamin-regulated genes, mostly transporters, in various prokaryotic organisms. The record is from RNAcentral.